Molecule: non-coding RNA, 1116 nt
Organism: Tetranychus urticae (two-spotted spider mite)
Lineage: Eukaryota; Metazoa; Arthropoda; Arachnida; Trombidiformes; Tetranychidae
Source: RefSeq, a predicted model, not a curated record
UUGAUAUGCCAUUUGUUUUCAAUUAGACUUGCAUGUGUUAACCUCACACUAUAUUUAAUUUGUAAUUGUUUCGACUGUUUAAGAUAAUUAAUUUUCUGUCAAUACAAGUUAAACUAAUAACAAUUUAGUUCUUUCAAUUUUCAAUUGUUACACAGAAUUGACAUGUAACAUGAUUACAUUGAUUCUUUGGGAUUUUGUUAAACAUUUGGCAAAAAUCAUAAAUUUAUUUUUCAACAACCCCUUUUCAGGUUACAAUUAUUAACCGCAUUUUUUUCAACAACAAAGUGUUGCUAUUAUUUUUCUAAUUAUCUUUAAAUUGGUUUAGUAAAAGUGAAAAGGUAAAAAGAUUAAAGUUAAAUGAUGUACUGGACGUUAAUGGACGAUGUUAGCUAAAUGUGGAUUCUCACCUUAACCAGUUUCAAUAUGUUACCUUUUCACCUUUCCAAUUAACCAUAAUCCUCCGCCUUCAUCAAUACACCUAAUUCAUCCUCAUCAUCCCUCCCUCCUCCUCCCCACAACAGCAACUUGAACAUGAACAUGGACAACAACAAAGGCAACAACAACGAUCAUUCCUGUGCUUUACAACAUAUAAACAAGUUAAAUUAAUUGUACCCAACUAAAUAGGAACCAAAAGUCAAACUUUGGCCUGACCUGACUUAUCUUACCUUGUCCACACCUAUUUUCUCGGGACUUUUUGGUUGGCAACAUGAAUCUCUAACAAGCCGAUGAAACUGACUGUUGAUUACAUUUCUUGUGCUCUCAUCAUCACCAUCGUCUUCAUUUCACCCUCAAUAGUUUAACCAUUAAUUUACACAAGUAAAGUAAAUGGGUCUGGCUGUAUUACAAUCUAUUGAAUCCCUCAUCACCUUUACUUUAAUUGCUCUCUACCUUGAUUUGCUUUCACAGGCAGAGAGAAUGUAAAAUCACCAAGAAACAUCAUUUCAUCCUCUUUCAACCUAGAUAAAUCGUCUUAAUUUAGUUUAUAUUUUUUCUUUCUCUCUCCUAACUUUAUCUAUUACAUUUAGAUUACAUUAUUAUUAUUAGCAUUACAAUCAUCAUCAUCAUUAUUAUCAUGUUACAUAAAAGCAAAAUCGCCCAGACAAUUAUCACAUACAA